CAGUGAGUAGUUUAAUUUAAAAUAUAGUAUUUGGAUUACUAAGAUUGGUUCACUGA
This 56-nucleotide transfer RNA is filed under the name Strongyloides vituli. Its description in RNAcentral is "tRNA-Pro". Lineage: Eukaryota; Metazoa; Nematoda; Chromadorea; Rhabditida; Strongyloididae. The record is from RNAcentral.